UCUGAGACUAGGGUGAGAAGCAGCUCUAUCAGGGCCCUCCCUGAGCUUCCAGGAAGUGAGUUCCCAGAGAAUGAGGUACCAACAAGGGUUUGGCUGAACAGCUGUUUGCUAAGAAAGAAGUCCAAUAUUGGAAAUGCAUUUAUUCAG
Molecule: small RNA, 147 nt
Filed under: Choloepus hoffmanni (Hoffmann's two-fingered sloth)
Lineage: Eukaryota; Metazoa; Chordata; Mammalia; Pilosa; Megalonychidae
Description: Nuclear RNase P (ENSCHOG00000015766.1)
Source: RNAcentral